UCCAAAGGUGGUUUUCNACAGAUUGGUGG
This 29-nucleotide non-coding RNA is filed under the name Mus musculus (house mouse). Lineage: Eukaryota; Metazoa; Chordata; Mammalia; Rodentia; Muridae. The record is from RNAcentral.